Molecule: ribosomal RNA, 499 nt
Filed under: uncultured bacterium
Lineage: Bacteria
Description: bacterial SSU rRNA
Rfam family: Bacterial small subunit ribosomal RNA
Source: RNAcentral
CACGAGUUUGACCUGGCUCAGGAUGAACGCUAGCGGCAGGCUUAACACAUGCAAGUCGAGGGGUAGGUUACUUCGGUAAUUGAGACCGGCGCACGGGUGCGUAACGCGUAUACAAUCUACCUUUACAGAGGGAUAGCCCAGAGAAAUUUGGAUUAAUACCUCAUAGUAUUUUUGAAUCGCAUGAUUUGAUUAUUAAAGUUCCAACGGUAAAAGAUGAGUAUGCGUCCCAUUAGCUAGAUGGUAAGGUAACGGCUUACCAUGGCUACGAUGGGUAGGGGUCCUGAGAGGGAGAUCCCCCCACACUGGUACUGAGACACGGACCAGACUCCUACGGGAGGCAGCAGUGAGGAAUAUUGGACAAUGGGCGCAAGCCUGAUCCAGCCAUGCCGCGUGCAGGAAGAAGGUCCUAUGGAUUGUAAACUGCUUUUAUACAGGAAGAAACACUCCCUCGUGAGGGAACUUGACGGUACUGUAUGAAUAAGGACCGGCUAACUCCGUG